UCAAGCUACAAAGGGCAUAUGGUGGAUGCCUUGGCGCCAUGAGCCGAAGAAGGACGCGAUAAGCUGCGAUAAGCCGCGGGGAACUGCAAAUAAGUAUAGAUCCGCGGAUUUCCGAAUGGGGAAACCCGGCAGUCGUAAUGGGCUGUCACCCGAGAGGGAGGGAACCCGGUGAACUGAAACAUCUAAGUAACCGGAGGAAGAGAAAUCAAACGAGAUGCCCGUAGUAGCGGCGAGCGAAGGGGGCAUAGCCCAAACCGUGGGCCUUCGGGCCUGCGGGGUUGUGGACCGGCGUAAACGGACGAGUUGCUAGUAGAAUUACCUGGAAAGGUAAGCGAGAGAGGGUAAAAGCCCCGUAUACGAAAGCGACGAGGACGCGGCCGGGAUCCAGAGUACCACGGAGCACGAGGAAUUCUGUGGGAAGCAGGGGGGACCACCCUCCAAGGCUAAACACUCCAUGGCGACCGAUAGCGCAGAGUACCAUGAGGGAAAGGUGAAAAGAACCCCGGGAGGGGAGUGAAAGAGAACCUGAAACCGUAUGUCUACAAGCAGUCGGAGCGAAAGCGACGGCGUGCCUAUUGAAGAAUGAGCCAACGAGUUACGUGCGCCAGCGAGGUUAAGCAGAAGAUGCGGAGCCGCAGGGAAACCGAGUCUGAAGAGGGCGAGGAGUUGGUGUACGUAGACCCGAAACUGCAGUGAUCUACGCAUGGCCAGAUUGAAACGCAGGUAAAAUUGCGCGGAGGAUCGAACCGGGACAUGUUGAAAAAUGUUCGGAUGAGCUGUGCGUAGGGGUGAAAUUCCAAUCGAACGCAGAGAUAGCUGGUUCUCCUCGAAAUAGCUUUAGGGCUAGCCUCAGGCAGUAAGCGCAGGCGGUAGAGCACUGAUCGGGAUAGGGGCCGUAAUGGCUACCGAACCCUGUCAAACUCCGAAUGGCAGCGCUGCAGAGCCUGGGAGUCAGACUACGAGUGAUAAGAUCCGUGGUCAAAAGGGAAACAGCCCAGACCAUCAGCUAAGGUCCCCAAUGCCGUACUAAGUGGAAAAGGAUGUGGGGUUUCAUAAACAACCAGGAUGUUGGCUCAGAAGCAGCCACCAUUUAAAGAGUGCGUAAUAGCUCACUGGUCGAGAGACCCUGCGCCGAAGAUUCCCGGGGCUAAAGUACGGAACCGAAGCUAUGGAUGCAUCCCUCGGGAUGCGUGGUAGAGGAGCGUUCCCAUCGGGCAGAAGUCGUUCUGGAAGGAACGGUGGACUGGUGGGAAGUGAGAAUGUUGGCAUGAGUAGCGAAAAGAAUGGUGAGAAUCCAUUCCACCGAAAACACAAGGAUUCCUGAGCAACGAUCGUCGUCUCAGGGUAAGUCGGGACCUAAUCCGAGGCAUGGAGCGUAGGAGAUGGACAUCCGGUUGAAAUUCCGGAACCGGCAGGAAUCGUCAAGAGCAAGGGAGUGACACAGGAAGGCAGGCGCGCAUGAGAUUGGAAGUUCAUGUGCAAGCGUGCGACGCGCGGGACAGGCAAACCCAUCCCGCACAAGCGCCAGGCGUGACGCGGAGGGAACCGGAAGGGACCCGAAGGCGCUGGGCCUACACUGUCGAGAAAAGCUUCUAGCAAGAGACCUGCCGCCCGUACCGUAAACCGACACAGGUGUGUGGGGAGAGAAUCCUAAGGUGCGCGGGAGAACCCUCGUUAAGGAACUCGGCAAAAUGUACCCGUAACUUCGGGAUAAGGGUAGCCGUCGGGCGUGAAGGGACCAGCUCCUGGAGCGCCGGAUGGCCGCAGAGAAGAGGCCCAAGCGACUGUUUACCAAAAACUUAGGUGCCUGCCAAAGCGAAAGCUGACGUAUAGGUGCUGACACCUGCCCAGUGCCGGAAGGUUAAGGAAGGAGGUCCGGGUUCGACCCAAAGCCUUCGACCGAAGCCCCGGUGAACGGCGGCCGUAACUAUAACGGUCCUAAGGUAGCGAAAUUCCUUGUCGGGUAAG
This 1968-nucleotide ribosomal RNA is filed under the name human gut metagenome. Its description in RNAcentral is "bacterial LSU rRNA". It matches the Rfam family "Bacterial large subunit ribosomal RNA", at positions 3 to 1980 of the family's 2925-position model. The record is from RNAcentral.